RNAcentral lists this ribosomal RNA (606 nucleotides) under uncultured fungus. Its description in RNAcentral is "eukaryotic LSU rRNA". It matches the Rfam family "Eukaryotic large subunit ribosomal RNA", at positions 23 to 641 of the family's 3401-position model. The record is from RNAcentral. Lineage: Eukaryota; Fungi.
ACCCGCUGAACUUAAGCAUAUCAAUAAGCGGAGGAAAAGAAACCAACAGGGAUUGCCUUAGUAACGGCGAGUGAAGCGGCAAAAGCUCAGAUUUGAAAUCUAGCGUCAUAUUGGCGUUCGAGUUGUAAUCUGUAGAGAAGUUAUCGAGUGUGGAUAUGGCUUAAGUUCUUUGGAACAGGACGUCAUAGAGGGUGAGAACCCCGUAUACGGCCUUUGUCUUAUGCUCAUGUGAGGCUUCUUCGACGAGUCGAGUUGUUUGGGAAUGCAGCUCUAAAUGGGUGGUAAAUUCCAUCUAAAGCUAAAUACUGGCAAGAGACCGAUAGCGCACAAGUAGAGUGAUCGAAAGAUGAAAAGAACUCUGAACAGAGAGUUAAAUAGUACGUGAAAUUGUUGAAAGGGAAGCACUUGCUACCAGACUCGCUUGCAGUUAAUCAACUAUCAUUCUUGGUAGUGCACUUUUCUGUAGGUGGGCCAGCAUCAGUUGAGUCGGUGGGAUAAAGGCAGUCGGAAUGUGGCUCUCUUCGGAGAGUGUUAUAGCCUUCUGUGUAAUACCAUCUAAUGCGACUGAGGUCAGCGCUUUUGCGAGGAUGCUGGCAUAAUGGUCGU